GGACGAACGCUGGCGGCGUGCUUAACACAUGCAAGUCGAGCGGUAAGGCCCUUUCGGGGGUACGACGAGCGGCGAACGGGUGAGUAACACGUGGGUGACCUGCCCUCAGCUCUGGGAUAAGCCUGGGAAACCGGGUCUAAUACUGGAUAUGACUCCAUGACGCAUGUUGUGGGGUGGAAAGCCUCGUGCGGCUGAGGAUGGGCCCGCGGCCUAUCAGCUUGUUGGUGGGGUGAGGCCUACCAAGGCGACGACGGGUAGCCGGCCUGAGAGGAUGAUCAGCACACUGGAACUGAGACACGGUCCAGACUCCUACGGGAGGCAGCAGUGGGGAA
RNAcentral lists this ribosomal RNA (332 nucleotides) under uncultured bacterium. Its description in RNAcentral is "bacterial SSU rRNA". It matches the Rfam family "Bacterial small subunit ribosomal RNA", at positions 27 to 361 of the family's 1533-position model. The record is from RNAcentral.